UGAAACUCGCUUUCCAAGCUUCAUGCUAUUCUAUAGAACUCAAAGAUCAAUUAAGAAUAACUCAAUUCUUAUUAGCUCAAAAAAAUAUCUCAAAACUCAAGCUCUCACAAUGAUUUCUCAAAGCUCAUAAAGUUAUGUCACAAGUUGACAUCUUCUUAUAUAGAUCUCAAUAUUUUCUAAACACAUUAGUAAAACUAAACUUAUCCUA
This 208-nucleotide long non-coding RNA is filed under the name Brassica napus (rape). RNAcentral's name for it is "long non-coding RNA (BNAP_LNC017682)". The record is from RNAcentral. Lineage: Eukaryota; Viridiplantae; Streptophyta; Magnoliopsida; Brassicales; Brassicaceae.